Molecule: ribosomal RNA, 231 nt
Filed under: uncultured bacterium
Lineage: Bacteria
Description: partial 16S ribosomal RNA
Rfam family: Bacterial small subunit ribosomal RNA
Source: RNAcentral
GAUCCUGGCUCAGGAUGAACGCUAGCUACAGGCUUAACACAUGCAAGUCGAGGGGCAGCAUGGUCUUAGCUUGCUAAGGCCGAUGGCGACCGGCGCACGGGUGAGUAACACGUAUCCAACCUGCCGUCUACUCUUGGACAGCCUUCUGAAAGGAAGAUUAAUACAAGAUGGCAUCAUGAGUCCGCAUGUUCACAUGAUUAAAGGUAAUUCCGGUAGACGGUGGGGAGUGCG